UUUUUUUUUAAAAACUAAAAAAUAAACAAGACAUGUCGUAAAAUCUCAACUCUCUUAUUAUCCACUACUCUUAUAGAGUUAAAGUUUUCUACCCCAAUGAGCCAAACAAUUAUCCAAAGUUAUAUAUAUAAUAUGAGUAUUGUUGUGAGGUAUUCUUGUGCAAAGUAAAAGGUCAUUUACAAUGACUUUUGUCUUAGUUAAUUAUAUAUUUUUUAAUAUAUUUUUAAGGAUACAUGUUAGUUUAGGUUUUUUUUUUAUUUCAAUAAUGUAAAAAAUAAAAUAUAUAUACCAAAAAAGGGUUUAUAAGGAAGUUAAUUCCAAGAAUAAGUUUUUUACGUGUAUCUUGAUAUUUAUAGUUGUUAAGAUCAAAGCAAUGUCUUGUGUCCCCAAGUUUUUAGAACCUAUUGGAAUCAAAAUUAAUGAUUAUGGAAUGAUUAAAGUAACUUGACACGAAAUUGUAAAUUUUUGAAAACCAUAAAUUGUAACAAUUUAUAUAUUUUUUUAAUGCUUGUAAAUAACCUAACCCUAAAACCUAUAGAUAGCUCAUUCCAUAGUAAAAUUUUAAAAAUGUAAACCCAUGGGUAUCGAGAUCGUAUUAAAAACCCUAACAAAACCUUAAACCUAAAACAUAUAGAUAGCCCAUCCAAUUUGUUUAUUUUACAUAAAAAAUUCAAAAUUGCUUUUGGGACCCAAUAUGGACAUUACGAAUUCUUAUUGAUGUCAUUUGGACUUACAAAUGCCCCUACAACAUUCAUGGACUUGAUGGAUUGAAUAUUUGAACCGUACCUAGACCAAUUUGUGGUGGUGUUUAUUGAAGACAUCCUUCUGUAUUCCAAAACCAAAUAGGAUCACGAUAAACAUCUGAGAGUUGUGUUGCAAACUAUGAGGGAGAACAGUUAUAUGCAAAGCUUAACAAGUAUGAAUUCUGGUUGAAUGAAGUAGCAUUUCUAACACAUGUGAUACUAGUUGAUGGAAUCAAAGUUGAUCCAAAAAAAAUCCAAGCCAUUUUAGAAUGAAAAUUACCUAACUAAAAUUAGCAACUUCUUAGGAUUGGUCGAUUAUUAUUGACAAUUUGUGAAGGGAUUUUCAAUGGUUACUUCCUUUUUAACCUUGUAACUCCAUAAGAACAUUCAAUUUAAAUAAGUGACAAGAGUCAGGAAAGCUUUAAAAAAUUGAAGAUAAUUCUCAACGAGGCAUUAUUUUUGACAAUCCAAAAAAGGUUGUGGUUUUCAGUGAUGCGCUACAUAAUGAACUAAGAUGCGUAAUAAUGCAUGAAGGUAAGGUGAUUGUUUAUGCUUCAAGGUAACUACAACCAUAUGAAAAGAACUAUCCAACUCAAGAUAUAGAAUUGUUUUUUGUUGAAGAUUUAAAGGCAUUAUUUGUAUGGUGAAAAGUGUUACAUUUACACCAAUUAAAAGAGGUUGAAAUAUUUAUCACUCAGAAAAAACUCAAUAUGAGGCAAAAAAGGUGAAUUGAAUUGCUAAAAUUACGAUUGCAUCACUAAUCACCACCCCAAUAAACCAUACCCAGUAGUUUAUGCACUAAAUAGGAAACCCUUAUGAGGUAAUAAAUUUGAAGUUAAGAUAUUAAAUAUAUUAUGUGAAUUAGUGAAAUGUGGUCAUAAUUAAAUGAUCUUUGUUAUGUGUAGCAUUUGAGGCUAUGAGUACGCAUUUGAAAAUGGUAGAAAACGGGGUAAUUCUUACCCAAUUGAAGGUUAAGCCGCCCUUGCUUCAACAAGUAAUGGAUUCUUAGGUAAAGACAAGAAAUUAGUGACUAAAUGUGAACAUAUUAAGGUAGGGAAUUUGAUUGAGUUUGAACUAAAUGAAGAGGGCAACUUGUACUUUAAAGGGAGGUUAUGUACCCCUAAUGUCGAUGAGUUGAAGCUAGAUAUCCUUAGAAAAGCUUAUUGUAGUUCUUACACUAUGCACUUUGGUAGUACUAAAAUGCAUCAGAACAUAAAGGCUUACUAAUGGUGGCCCGAUAUGAAACGUGGCAUAGUUGAAUUUGCGACAAAUGCUUAACUUUCCAACAAGUAAAGGUCAAACAUCAAGUUUCAUCAUGAUUAUUGAAACCAAUCUUGAUACCUAAAUGGAAAUGAGAUCAUGUAACCAUGGAUUUCAUGGUUGUUUUUACCACUCACCAAAAAAGGAUGCAAUUUGGAUAACAAUUAAUCAAUUGAUGAAAUUUACCCAUUUUCUACCUAUCAAAGCCAACUAUACGUUAGACAAGUAUGUAGAGUUAUAUAUCAAUGAGAUAGUGUGACUUCAUGGUGUGCCUAUCUUUAUCAUCUCUAAUAAAGACCCAAGAUUCACUUCGAAACCUUGGGAUCCAUUGUAACUCUAACGAACUUGAUCCUUAAAUAAAAUAGAUGAAAGUCAAAUAUUGUCUCACCAAGCAUGUUACAAAUUUGCACAUAAAUUGGAGACAAAAGAAAGAAUUUUAUUAUUAAAAUUUUAAGGUUAAAUUUUUUGGAUAAAUCCUUUGAGUCUUCUUUUCAGUGGAGCUUCAAUCCAAGGGGUUGUUUAGAGUUGACCUUGUAUUGAUACAAUCUACUUAAAGGAUUGUCGAGACUUAAUCUUGAAAACAAGUUUGAUCUCCUUUGUGUUGACAUGAUUAAAUUUAAAAGAGCUUUGAUUCAAGGAUCUUCGAAACUUGAUCUUGGAUGAUUCCGCUUCAAGGCCCUUCUAGACUUGAUUUUCAAGAACGACAUUUGACCUCAUUUCUUUUAAGAAUUAGGAUUAGGUGGUAGCUUUUGAGAAUUCCUUGAGAACUAUCCUAGGAUUCUAAAUUCCUUCAAAACUAUUGAAGAGUUUCUUAAUUAUGCCCUUUUGAACUUUAUGAACUUGUGCUGAAUGAUUUUGAGGUGAUCCCUUGUUAUAGUACCAAUAACAAAUUUCUUCUAGAUUAUGGUUUCUUCAGAUGACUGACCGAUAAGGAUUAUAUCUUUUAUUUGUUAUUUAUCUCAUGGUUAAAGAUAAAAUAAUUCUUAAAGAAUAUGAUAUCCAUAUUAAAAAGUAGUAAAAUGAUUUAAUUUUUGAUUUAUCUCUUAAUUGAUUUAAUUUAUUUAAAAACAAAUAACAUUUGUGCAUUAUGAGUUUUAUUUGGCUCAAAAUUUCCUCCUUUUGUAUAUAUAUUAAUUUUUUUAUAAACUGAACUAGGAUAAUGCUCGAUUGAAUCGAGUAAAAAAAUUCAAGUUAAUCAAGUUGAGGAUUCUUAUUUUAUCAACCAAACUCAAUUUAAAAUUUUUUGAAUCAAGUUGAAGGAAAAGAUAUUCGAUAAAUUUGUUUAAGUUAAAUUAAAAUAAUUUAAAAAAUCAAGUAAAACGUUGUUAAUAAUCUGACUAACUUUCAAGUUAGGGCCUCUAAAUUUGAGAGCAUUACAUUUGAAAGUUUCUUUCAAAGCAAAAUAUUAAUAAAAAUGCUUUAGAAAUUUUUUAGAAAAUAUUAUAUAAAUUUUGGAAAAAUUUUAUUUAAUUUUUUUAAAUUUUUGAAGAUUUUUUUUUUGUGAUACUUUUAAACUUGGGGAAAAUUUAUUGAUUUUUAAUUUUUUUAAUCUUUAAAAUAAUAUUUUGAAUUUUGUUUUUGAGAUUUUUGUUAUACUAACCUAACAUAAUAAAUCUAAAGCUCGAGGAAUUAGCAACUCAAAAAACCCAUACUCCAAUACUCUUAAGCAACACUUAUCAUAGUGCUACAAGUAAACAUCAUAACUCGACAAGCAAUGAAAUUAAAAGAAUGGUAACUUAUAUAGUGACCUUAAACACGAUCAUAUUUAGUUAAGGACACAUCAGCCAACCUGAAAAGGACCAUAUGCUCUUAUACAAAGCGAAAAGUCACCAAUAAGCUAAUGAAAUUAAAGAAAAAUUGUUGGAUAGCCUCUUAGAAUACAAACUCUGACUCUCCGAUAGUUCUUCUUAUGUUUGAAAGCCUCGACCUUUCUUAAUUCACCUUAUCUACCUCUAAGCCCAUUAUAUUCCCAAUAAGGCCAAACACUUUAUAUGAAUUUAUGAUUCUAAAAAUUUAUUUGAAUUUUUCAUUUUUAGAAUUGUUAGAAUUUGUGUGACCCGAAUCCCGUCACUUGUUGAAGAAAUAAAUACAGUCGUAAAAUAAGGGGAUCUAUGGGGGCAAGAGGUCGAGAGUCCAUAUAGAACUACACUUCUUCUAUUUGACAUUGAUUAGAACAGGGCUUUUCAACCCUUAAAUAGAUGUAGUCAAAACUCCUCUUGUAUCAUUCUUUUUUCAACAUUAGAGAAUUUCUUCUCAUUUGCCUGUGAUUUUUUCCCUAAAGGAUUUCCAUGCUAAAUUUGUGUGUUCUUAUUUUUCUUAUUUUGCGAUCAUUUUAUUUCCAUUAUCUAUGUCUAUUAUAAUAAACUAGUAUCAAAACUUUCAGAUUGCUUGUUUCGAUCACGGUAAUGGCGACAAUGAAGUAUGAUAUUUUGCUGUUGGAUCGCAACACCAAGUUUGUGUUAUGGUAGGUAAAGAUGCAGGCAGUUCUUACGCAGAUGGGUUUGGAAGAUAUCCUGCUAGGUUAAAUAAGAUGCCUUCAAUAUUGACGCCUGAAAAGAAUAAGCGUAAAGAUCGAAAGGCUUUAACGCAAUUAUAUUUGCAUCUAUCGAAUGAAAUUCUACAGGGUGUGUUGAAGGAAAAGACCGCUGCUGCAUUAUGGGCAAAGCUGAAGUAGUUAUGCAUGUUAAAAACCCUAACUAACAAGUUGCAUCUGAAGCAGCAUAUUUAUUCUCAUUGUUUGGAAAAAGGUGUGCAUGUGCUCAAACACUUAAUUGUGUUUAAAGAAAUUGUCUCGAACUUAGAGGCCAAUGAGGUUUAGUAUGAUAAAGAAGAUUUAGGGUUAAUUCUAAUUUGCUCAUUGCCCCUAUCUUAUUUAACUUUUAGAGAUACGAUUUUGUAUAGUCGCGAACCUCUCACAAUUGAUGAAGUCUAUGCUUUUUUAGCCUCGUAUGAUAAGAUGAAGUAUCUUGUGGCUCGAUCUAACUCUCAGGGAUAGGGUCUUAUUGUUCAUGGGAGAUAAGAAUGAAAUACUGAUGAUAAUCGUGGGUGGACAUAGGAAAAUCCUCAUAGUAAAUCUCAAGGUAGAUCAAGAUCUUCAAAUAAAGGUAAAACCUGUAAUUUCUGCAAGAAGAAAGGGCACAUUAAGUCUGAUUGCUAUAAAUUACAAAAUAAAAUCAAAAGGGAGGUUAUGAAUCAAAAAGGAAAACAAAUCAGAACAAUCCGGUGAAGUUGAUGUAGUAGAAGACUACAACAAUGGUGAACUCUUAGUUGCUUUUGUUAACAACUCUAAAGUGAGUGAGGAGUUUAUGCUCGAUUCUAGUUGCACCUUCUAUAUGAGUCCCAAUCGGGAUUGGUUUUACAACAUAUGAAACAGUGUCUAAAGGUGUUAUUUUGAUGGGAAAUAAUGCUUCAUGUAGAAUCGUAGGCACUGGCAAAAUCAAAAUUAAGAUGUUCGAUAGAGUCAUCAGAACACUUAGUAACGUACAACAUAUACCAGAAUUGAAGAGAAAUUUGAUUUCGUUGAGUAAUCUUAAUUCAAAAGGGUACAACUACACAACUGAAAGUGGGGUUCUAAAGAUUAGCAAGGGUUCCCUUGUUGUGAUGAAAGGGCACGUAACACCCCAUACAUGGCCAGGUCGCCAAGCCCGAAUAUGAAGGUGCCACACCACUGUCUCAUGUCAAAUACUACAAGUAAAAGUUCAUUCAUAACAAAAUGUCUUCCAUUUUAACAUUCAUGCAGCUUUAGAGUUUAUCUUAAGCUUUAGUUAUCAUCGUUAUGCUAACAUACAUCACAUAGCCUUAAAAUAAUAAUUAAGCUUUCAUAUGGUCCGUUUUAGCAAAAUCUCAAAACAUCAACGUAGGUAUCAAUACUAAAGACAUGGUAUCGAUAUUUUGCUUAAGAGGUAUCAAUACCACUUGAAAAAUUGGUACCAAAAUUGCAUUAUGUUUCUCUAUUAAAAGCCUAAAGUCUUGAAAAAUAUGGAUACCUUUCAUGAAGUAUUGAUAAAUUUACCUCGAGUAUCGACACUCGAGAAAAGGUAUUGAUACCAAAUCUCUAUCCCGACUUCUUAUAUGUUUCAAAACACAGAGGUAUCGAUUUUAAAACCCAAUUAUCAAUACAUCUACUCCAGACCUCAAAAAUACAACAUUUUUAAGCAUAUAAGCCAUUCCAAUUCGUACCAAUUCAACAUUCUAUCAUAUCAUCAUCAAAUAUACAUCGAAAAAGUCAUAAUAAUAACAUCAAAAGAAAAUCCAAGCAAUACUUAACAUAUUAUGAAACAAAUCCCAAAAUCCUAAGAGCAAUUAAAUCAUGGAGACAACUUAAAAUAUCAUGUCCAAUAUUAGCGGAAGGACUACCACAUUUCCUUAUUCCCAAAACAUAACCAAAUAAUAAACACCUACAAAUAACGAAAGUGGACUUGCUUGGAUCACCCCUGGAGAAGCCACACCGCUCACACCAGCACACAACUAAUUUGCAAAGUUUAAGAAGAGAGUAGGUGAGCUUAACAAGCUCAAUGAAUGCUCCAAAUAACCACAGUGCAAACAAUUCAUCAAGCAUCAAUGAAACAACUAUAUAACAUAACCUUAACAGUUUCAUUUCUAGUGUCAUAUUAUACUUACUCGUGCAUUAUUACUAGUUCUUUUACAUGGGAAACAUAUUCACUUUUAAGCAUAUAUCACAUUACGCAUAUAAUUACAUAAUGUUCAAACACAUUUCGCAGUACCUAUAUAAUCGGAUAACAUUCAAGCAUUUAUUGCAGUACUUAAAAAUAGGUUUAUAGAUAAAUUGUGUAAAGGUCACAUGUCACAUAAACACAUAUCACAACACACACAUAUUGAUCAUUUAAGAUAAUUUGCAUAGCAACCACAUACUCAUUUAGGCAUAUAUCAUAGAUACAUUUUAAGAUAAUUUGGCACUUGAGUUAUGAAACAUAAAAGUGAGCUCUAUCAUCACUCAUUAGAUACACGGAUCUCUAACACACCAAACAUAGACUCAUAGAGUCAAACAUGUCCCAAAAGUGAAGCAUAAAGCUAACACUCUCCUUAUUUCCUCUCACAUAUCCCGUUGAAUGGAGCGUAGUUCACAUUCCCUUAUCCUUCCAACAUGUCCCAAGGCCUCAAUGCCAAAAAUUAUUGUACAUAUAGGUGAGUACUCACAAUCCUAUGGCAUGCCAACUAUAUCCAACGGUUUCAAUAAUCAUAAGGCCAAAGUAUCCGAAAUCAAACACAUAUCACUUACUGACUAUGUGUGCAUAAUCAUUGCAUAUUUGUAUCUUUAGCAAAACAUUGUCACUAACAUAUACAUAAUAUGUACACAUUUGCACUUUCACAAUAGUUAUCAUAUCCACAUAUCACAUAUUUACAAUCACAUAAGUACAUAAUUCACAAGAUAAAUAUAGGUAUGAGAAAGCUUACACUCAAAAUUUAAAGUAGGGGUUUAGGCUACUACUAAAUUCCCAAAUAAUGCAUUGAAUCAUGUCCACAAGCAAUUUUCUCAAACACUCACCAAUUAUGCUUUCGCCAAAAAGCCGAAAGCUUAAACUAGAUUUUCCUUGCCUUUAUCUCUACUCGUAGAAGGUUCUAUCGAAUCCGAAACUUCAACACAACAAAUUCACACAACAAUACAUCCAAAAAUCAGCAAAGGACUCAUUACAAGCAUACCAAAAAUAAGCCUAAACUUAGUUCUCAUGUAACCGUAACUUAUAACAUAGCAAACUUUAAAUUCGAAUAUCUCGAUCUAUACUUAUAAUCUUUUCACCUAAAACCAAUUUUGUUCAUUUUAUAAUUCACUUACGACUAAUUCUCAACCUUUAAACUACACAAAAAUAUUCAAUUCAAUAUUCGGCUUUUUCGACAUGUUUUAUGGCUAUUUUCUAAAAAUUCAUUAAAACUCAAGAAAUCUUUAACAGAAAUUUAAAGUAAGUCUAGAAAUAUUCUAAUAAUGUUAAAACUAAUUGAAAAACACUUUGAAACCACUUUUUAUGUAAAAUCCUGAAAUUCACCAUUAAAGAUCUGAUUUUUGGCUUUUAUUUAAAACAUGCAUUUCAAUGGCUAAAAAUUCAGCUUAAGGGACUUGUUAUCAUUUAAAACUCAUAAUAAGUCGAAUGGUUACCUUUGAUGGAAGAAAAACGAGCUUUAACGCUAAUUUGGAAAAACCCAUGUUUAGAGAAAAUGAUGUAGAUGAUGAAGCUUUUAGGUGAUUUUCUUGGUUUUUAUAGAGGUUUAUGGUUCAAUGGUGAUAGAAAUCAAAGAGGAUUAGGAAUUAGAAGUAAAAAUUGAUUGAGAUAGUAAAGGGAAAACAAAUGGAUGACACCAAUAUGGGGAAGAAGAAGUUGACGUGACAAAUAUUUGGAAAAGGGGUUUUUAGGUUGAUUUUAGACAUUUGGUCAAAUUGCUUCAUAAAAACUCUCAAUUUUGACUCUUUUACAAAUUAGUCCUAUUUUUAAAAUUAAAGGUAUUUAAAACUCAUUUUCAGAAAUUGAUUUAAUUUUCUAAAAAUCAUAAUUCAAAACAUUAUCGGUAUGCCAUGUCACAAAAUUUCGAAUACUCUAAUGCUAAAUUUCCUAAAAUACCCCUAAAACUCUUAGGUCCUAUUUGGGGUGUUACAGGGCAAGUAAGAUUGCCAAGUUAUAUAUUUUGCAGGGUUCAACUAUUACUGGUGAUGCCAUCGUUGCUUCCUCUUCCUUGUCAAGUGAUGAUGUUACUAGAAUUUUGCAUAUGUGUCUAAGGCAUAUAAGUGAGGGUGGCAUGACAUAAUUAAGGAAAAGAGGACUUUUUGAUGGACAAGGCAUUAGCAAAUUGAAGUUCUGUAAGCACUGCAUUUUUGAGAUGCAAAAGAGAGUUUGAUUCAUUAGAGGAACCCAUUACAUGAAGGGAACACUGGAUUAUAUUCAUUAUGAUCUUUGAGGACCAUUUACAAUGCCCUCAAGGGGUGGCGUUAAUUAUAUGCUGACGCUUAUUGAUAUUUUUCUAGAAAAGUUUGGCCAUUCUUCUUAAAGUAAAAAAGUAAUGUGUUUUCCAUGUUUAAGGCUCAAAAGAUUAUGAUCGAGAAACAGAUAGGAAAAUAGAUAAAACACCUCUGUACAGAUAAUGACUUAGAAUUUUAUUCUGAUAAGUUUAAUGAAUUGUGCACAUUAGAAGGAAUCAUGAUACACAUGACAGUUCGCCAUACUCUAUAGCAAAACCUAGUUGCAGAACGAAUGAAAAAAUAAUCAUGGAAAAUGUUUGAUGUAUGUUGUCGAAUGCUUGUUUAGCGAAGUCGUUUUGGGCUGAAGCAGCCUUUACUGCAUGUUUUUUGAUUAAUCGGUCUCCGUCCGUGACCAUUAAGAAAAAGACUCCACAAGAGGUAUGGACUAGUACUCCUGUCAAUUAUUCUGAUUUGAAGAUUUUUGGGUGUCCUGUGUAUGCUUUGAUAAUGGUAAAUUGGAACCUAGAUCUAUUAAGUUUGUUUUUCUUGGAUAUAAGGUUGGUGUUAAAAGGUAUAAGUUAUGGUGUCCUAAAAAUAGAAAAGUUGUAAUUAACAAAGAUGUUAUUUUUUUAUGAAACUACUAUGUUGCCUAACUUACCCUUUAAAUACUCUUCCGAUAAAGAUCAGCAGAAAUCAAACAUAAACGUGAACCAGGUAGAGCUUCAGAUUGAUCCAGGAUCUAGAACAGAGUCUACUACUCAAGUUAGUACAGAAACUUAUAGUAGAUUUGCUUCUUCACCACAAUUAGAAUCACAAUAUUCUAUUGCCAAGAACAAAACUAGAAGAGAAACUAAACAUCCAAAGAGGUUCACCAAGGUUGAUCUAUCUACUUAUGUUUUAAAUGUGACUGCAUAUAUAAAUGCAAAUCAAGAAUCAUCUACUUAUUCUGAAGUAGCUAGCUGUGAAAAUUCAGGACAAUGAAUGAUUUUCAUGCAAGAAGGUAUAAAAUCACUCCAUAAAAAUUGUACCUGGGACCCAGUGGAGAUCCCUAAGGGUAAAAAGGUUGUUCGUUGUAAAUAAGUGUUCAAGAAGAAAGAAGGGACUCUAGGAGUUGAAGAACCUAAGUAUAAAGCAACGCUGGUUGCAAAGGGUUAUAGUCAAAUUCCCAGUGUAAACUUCACAGAUGUGUUUUCUCCUGUUAUUAAACAUAGUUCGAUUCAAGCUUUACUUGGUAUUGCGACCAUGUAUGAUUUAGAGCUUGAACAGUUAGAUGUGAAAAUAACAUUCAUGCAUAGAGAACUUGGGGAAGAUAUUUACAUGCAACAAUCAGAAGGUUUUAUAGUCUCAAAAAAGGAAGACUAUGUUUACUUGCUGAAAAAAUCCCUUUAUGGCUUGAAACAGUCAUCUGUGCAGUGGUACAAGAGAUUUGAUUCAUUUAUGACUACUCAUGAUUUCAAAAGAAGCAGUUUUGAUAGUUGUAUUUAUUUUAAGAAAAAUUGUGAUGGUUCAUCUAUAUAUCUACUCUUUUAUGUUGAUGACAUGUUGAUAGCAACCAAAGAUAAAAGAGAUAUAAGAAAGGUCAAAGUCAAGCUUAGUAAAGAAUUUUAGAUGAAAGAUUUGGGAGCAACAAAGAAGAUACUUAGGAUAGAGAUUCUUAGAGAUAGAAAAGCAUGUAAAUUGUACUUAAGUCAAAAAGGAUACAUUGAGAAAGUUUUUUGUAAGUUCAAUAUGUUGAGUGUCAAGUUUAUUAGUACUCCAUUAGCAGCCCUCUUUAGACUUUCACCGGUUUUGUCUUCGCAAUCAGAUGAUGAGAUUGACUACAUGUCACGUGUUCCAAAUUCUAGUCCAGUGGGAUCUUUCAUGUAUGCAAUGGUUUGUUGAUGUCCAGUUUCUGGUGAUGCCAUUCGGCUUAACAAAUGCACCUGCUAUGUUUAAGGAUUUGAUGAAUAGAAUUUUCAGCUCGUAUUUAGACAGGUUUUUGGUGGUAUUUAUAGAUGAUAUUUUGGUUUACUCUCGAGAUGAAAAUGAGCAUACUGAGCAUUUGAGAAUAGUGUUGUAAACUCUGUGAGAGAAACAAUUGUACGCCAAAUUCAGUAAAUGCGAAUUUUGGCUACAGGAAGGUAGUUUACUUGGGCAUAUAGUAUCUGCUAAAGGUGUCAGAGUAGACCCGAAUAAAAUUUCAGCCAUUGUUAAUUGGAAGCCACUGAAGAAUGUGUCUGAAGUCUGAAGUUUUCUGGGACUAGGUGGUUAUUAUCAGAGAUUUGUAAAAAGUUUUUCAAUGAUAGCUUCUCCGAUGACUCGUGUGCUAUAGAAAGAUGUAAAAUUUGAAUGGACUGAUAAAUGUCAGUAGAGUUUUGACAAAUUAAAAGCUUUAUUUGAUAGAAGCUCCAGUAUUAGUUCAGCCAAAAUCAGGUAAGGAAUUUAUAGUUUACAGUGAUGCGUCAUUGAAUGGUUUAGGCUAUGUUUUGAUGCAAGAUAGUAAAGUAGUAGCCUAUGCUUCACGACAGCUAAAGCCACAUGAAAAGAACUACCUGACACACGAUCUUGAAUUGGCAGCCAUUGUGUUUGCAUUGAAAAUUUGGCGGCAUUACUUGUUUGGAGAAAAAUGUCACAUAUUCACUGAUCAUAAAAAUCUGAAAUACUUGAUGUCACAGAAAGAUUUGAAUUUGAAACAGCGUAGAUGGGUUGAAUUAUUGAAAGAUUAUGAUCUUGUUAUUGAGUAUCAUCUGGGAAAAGCCAAUGUGGGUUUGAUGCUCUGAGUAGAAAAUCCAUAUUUUCCUUGCGAGCUAUGAAUACUCAAUUGUCAUUGUCUGAUGAUGGUUUAAUCAUAGCUGAGUUAUAAGCUAGACCAACAUUUUUGCUACAAAUUUCUGAAGCUCAGAAAAAUGAUAAUAAGUUGCAAGCAAAACAGAUACAAGGUGAAUCGACUCUUAACUCAGAAUUUUAGAUCAGGACUAACAGUUGUUUGUUAUUCAGAGGCAGGGUAUGUGUACUGAAAAGUUCCAAACUAGUACAGAAAAUUUGAAUGAAGCUCACAAUGGUAACAUGUCUAUUCAUCCUAGUAGUAAUAAAAUGUAUAAUGAUUUGAAAAAGAUGUACUGGUGACCGGGAAUGAAACGAGAUAUUUCUAAGUUCGUAUCUAAGUGCUUGAUAUGUCAGCAAGUAAAAGCUGAAUAUCAGUUGCCUUCUAGACUAUUACAGCUGGUUACGAUACUGGAAUGGAAAUAGGAAAGAAUUAUCAUGGACUUUGUAACGGGAUUAUCCCUAUCUCCAAAGAAGAAGGAUGUCAUUUGGUUAAUCGUUGAUCGGUUGACAAAGUCUACACACUUUACUCCGGUACGUAUAGAUUAUUCCUUGGAUAGAUUGGUUGAAUUAUACGUUUCUGAGAUUGUCAGAUUGCAUGAAGUGCCUAUCUCUAUUAUUUCAGAUAGAGACCCUAGUUUACAUCUCAAUUCUGAAGCAAAUUGUAAGAAGCUCUGGCUACUCAGUUACAUUUUAACACUAAAUUUCAUCCCUAGAAGGAUGGUAAAUCUAAACGGGUAAUACAGAUCUUAUAAGAUAUGCUUCGGUGUUGUAUACUUGAGUUUCAAGGUAACUGGGAAAGGUAUUUGCCUUUGGUUGAAUUUGUUUAUAAUAAUAGUUAUCAGUCUAGUAUCAAAAUGGCACCGUAUGAAGCCUUGUAUGGACGUAAAUGUAGAACUCCAUUGUAUUGGCCAGAACUCAGUGAGAAAAAGUUACACGGAGUUGACUUGGUCCGAGAGACAUAGGAAAAAGUGAAAGUAAUUCGAGACAGCUUGAAAGUAGCCUCUGAUCGUCCAAAGUCUUACGCUGAUUUGAAACGAAAAGAAAUAGAAUUUCAAGUCGGUGACAAAGUAUUCUUGAAAGUUUCACCUUGGAAGAAAGUUCUCCGAUUUGGUCGCAAAGAAAAACUAAGUCCACGGUUUAUUGGACCAUAUGAGAUUAUAGAAAGAAUUAGAAAGGUUGCAUAUCGGUUAGCUUUGCCACCGGAGCUUGAUCAGAUUCAUAAUGUUUUUCAUGUGUCUAUGCUAGGUGGUAUCGAUCCAAACCUUCACAUGUUAUCUCUCUGACAGAGGUAGAGAUUCAGCUUGAUAUGACAUAUGGUGAAGAACCAAUUAAAAUCUUAGCCCGGGAAACAAAAGAGUUAAGAAAUAAGAAGGUAGCUUUAGUAAAAGUUAUUUGGCAACGUCAUGGCAUUGAAGAAGCUACCUGGGAGUUGGAGGAUACUAUGAGAAAGAAAUACCCGAAUCUCUUUACUGGUAAGAUUUUUUAGGAUGAAAAUCCCUAAAAGAGGGGAGAGUUAAAACAGCCCAUUUUUCAGUGAAAUCAAAACAGUGGUUUUGGGACCACAAAUCCGAUCUGAAAAUAAGGUUUAUUUUUUUAUUUCAUUAUAUGGUCCGUAUUAUAAUAGGCAUGUCGUGUGAAAAUGUUGAUAUGAAAAUUUUAUCGAUUAAGUGUUUAAUUACAAUAAGGACUAAAUCGCAUAAAAUGCGAAAGUUGAAUUCUAGUAGCUAUAAGGAUUAAAUAGCUAUGGAAAUCAAUUCUAGAGGUCUUUAUAUGGUAAUUAGACCAUUAAGAAAACUAUGUAGAUUUUUCUUGGUGACUCAUCCAUGAAAAUAUAGAAAAAUGGCAAGGACUAAAUUGGAAAUAGCAAAAUACUUAAUUAAUUAAAAGUUGAAAAAGAAAUAUAUCAUCUUCUUUUCAUCAUCUUCAACCUAAAAACAUAUGGAAACCCUAGGUGAGAGAAAAGAAACUUUCAAGACCUAAUUGGGUAAGUUUCCUUGUCCCGUUUUAGUAAUUUUGAUAUUGUAAAAACUGAGAUAGCUUAAUCUCUCUAUUUGAAGGAUUAAUUUGAAAAGUUAUCAAUGUAUGAAAAAUGGGUCAUGGAUGUAUAUGCUGGAAAUUAGAAAUUUAUGGUAGAAAAUGAAAGAUUUUUUAUCGAUAAACAACUUUUACAAAGUGAUUUUUGAUGAAAACAUGAUUUAUGGACUAAAAUUAAAAGUUGUAAAAUUUGAUGAAAAAUUCUAAAAUUUUAUGAAUACAUGUGCUGUAAAAUUUGUAAUGGGGCUUUGGUUUGGCUUGGAAUAAGGAUUAAUUUGCACAAGUUUCAUUUCCGAGCCUAAGGACAAAAUUGAAAUUUAUGAAAAAGUUAGGGGCAAAAUGGUAAUUUUUCCUAUGAUGUAAAUUGAGUCCAUUUGAAUAUGAAAUGUGUGAAAUUAAUGGUUAAAUUCAUUUAUAUAGAUCCGAAAAACACUAAUUUGAAGUUAGAUCAAAGAAAAAGAAAGGUUUCGGAUUAGUAGACUUUCUACGCGAACAAGUGUCGAGGUAAGUUCAUGUAACUUAAUCCGACAUGUAAAUAUGUUAAAUUGAAUAUUGUGUUGGAAUGUGACUUAUAUUUAUGUACAUUACUUGAAUGUUAUAAUGAGAAAUUUAAUUCAUGCUUGUUAUGGUGAAAAAGGGUUAAGUCCCGAUUGAAUAUUGAAUUCCGAUAAUUAUAUGCACUUUCCCAAAACUAACAAGGUGUUGCAUUUGUUGCGAAUGGGAUUUAGCUCGGACAGGAUUUAGUUCAGAAAAGUAAUCCCAUAAACCUUGUUAUAGAAAGAAUUUUGCCCGGAUAGGUAAUCCUGUUAUAAUACCUCUCGAGUAUACAUUACGAUUAGGGUUUAACCUGGAUUGGUAAUCCUAAUUGAGCUUUUGAGCAUAUAUUAUAUAAGGAUUAGCUUGGACUGGCAAUCCUAUUAUACGAUAUGUGACUCGAGAGCAUGUUCCUUAGUUAAGUGCCCUAAGAGGUACCCUUGAAUAGAAUUGACGGAUUCUUGAAUCGUACACCCCGAGUGUGCUACUUGAGCAUCCAUCAGAAUUUCAAUGAUUCAAUAGACAUAUAUCUCUAGACAUGGCAUGAUAAUUAUGAGAUGAAAUGAUAAUGUCUUGAAAGUGUAUUGUUUGAUGAGCUCACCUAUUCUUACUUGAUGUAUAUGUAAACUUUGUGACUAACAUGUUUGAUUGGAUACAUGUGUUUAGGCAGUUUAGCCAAAUGGAUGGAAAACUUGUUAUUGUAUGCUUAGAUUUAACAAACGGGAUUGGUAAGUUUAGUUUCCGUUUACAAACUCACUAAGCAUAUAAUGCUUACUUCGUUUAUUUUUCUCCUGUUUUAUAGUGUUCGUAAGCUUGCAAAGGUUGGAGAUCGUUGGAGCAUCGUCACACUAUCAGCUAGUCAUUUUGGGUAAAAUUAGUAAAAAUCAUUUUGGUAUUAUGGCAUGUAUAGGACAACUUGGACAAUAGUGGCUUGAAAUGUUAUUUUGUAACCUAGCCAUUGGAAUGACUAGUAAUGGUUUAUUUUGGUAUGACUAAGUAGAUUAUUAUGAUAUAUAUGCACACAUGUGUUAUGUUAAGAAUAUGUUAUCAAUGUUGUGAAUGCCUAAGUUAAACCAAGGUAAGUUUACAAACACAUAUGCAUGUAAUGGUAUGCUAUGAUGAAAUAUAGAAUUGCCUAAUUUGAAUGUUUGGAUUGGUUGGUAUUGGAUGUGUGUUUCAAGUGCAGGUCUUGGGUGAAAUUUUGGGUGAGAAAUGAAGCUAGAAAUGGCUUCAUUUUGUCCACACGGAUAGACACACGGGCAUGUGUCUAGACCGUAUGUGACACAUGGCCUGAUAACAUGGGCAUAUGGUUAGGCCGUGUGUCACCUGCAACUUAAUUUUGAGAAACAGAAUGCUUAGAAUUGAGGGCAGAGACACGAGCAUGUUCUCGGCCGUGUGUGCCACACGGUCUAGAACACCAGCGUGUGUCUUGGCUGUGUGAAACAUGCACCUAAUUUUGAAUUGAAUUAAUUGACUACAUGGCCUAGCAAACGGGCGUGUGGCAUGGCAAUGUGUGCAAGUUAGAGAGUUACACGGGGUCGAACACGACCUCUAGCACAGGCGUGUCCCUUGGAUCACACGACCGUGUGAGCCCUGCACCUUGGAAAAUUUUUGAAAAGUUGCGAAAAAUUCUUAAAAUUCCCGAUUCAGUCCCAACUCGAUUCUAAUGUUCGAUUGGGCCUCAAGGGCCUAAUCAAGGGACGUUAUGAAUAAUUUCGGUAAAUGAAUAGUAAUUUACAUAAAUUAUUUGUAAAAUGUUCUAAAAGUUUUGGUAAUGCUCUGAAACCCUGUUCCGACGACAGAUACUGGUUAGAGGUGUUACACCUAUAGAUAUGAUGACUAAGUCACUUCCUAUAACCAAGUUUGAGCAUUGCUUGGACUUGGUUGGUGUUUAUUAUUGACGAAUACCCCUUUAGGGGUUUUGUGGAAUAGGUGAAGAACUUGUUCGUUGAGAAUUCAUGUCAAGGUGGAGAUUGUUAGAGUUUGUGUGACCCGAAUCUUGUCACCUGUUGAAGAAAUAAAUAGUGGCCAAAUAAAGGGAUCUAUGAGGGCGAGAGAUCGAGAACCCGUAUAGAACUAAAUUUCUUCUAUUUGACAUUGAUUAGAAUAAAGAUUUUCAACCCUUAAAUAGAUGUAGUCGAAACUCCUCUUGUAUCAUUUGUUUUUCAACAUUAGUAAAUUUCUUCUCAUCUGCCUGUAGUUUUUUCUUGGAAGGGUUUUCACAUUAAAUAUGUAUAUUCUUAUUUUUCUUAUUUUGUGAUUAUUCUAUUGUCAUUAUUAGCGUCUAUUAUAAUAAAAAAUUUAUAAGAUUACUUUAAUAUUGUAUUAUUUUUAAAACUAAGACUGAUUGAAUUUUUAAUAUUUAUAAAAGUUGAAGAACUAAUUUACUUAUUUUAGAAAUUGACUAUGAGUACUUGCACUAAAAUAGAAAAUAACUAAACCCCAAACUGAUGUCAUUGAGGUUAAUUAUAUUUUUAAAUAUUUAAAUUUUAAAAUUCAAACUUGAUUAACUCAAACUGUUUAAUUAAAUUGAUCCGAUAAUUUGAAUAAUUCAAUUAACUAAAACUUAAAUCUUAAAAUUUUUAAUUUUUUGAAUUGAAUGAAUUUUAUUUUUUCCUUAAAAUAAACAUAACAAAAACAUAGUUUAACUAUUUAUAUUUUUUUCUUUAAAAAAUAUUAUUUAUAUUUUGGUCCUAUCAGUAAAACCACUCUACACCGUCCAUAUCCCGUAAUGCGAUUUUUCCUUGUUCUUUUAAAUGAAAUGAAACCAUAAUGAAAUUUGGGUGAUGCGAAAAAUCCAAACCAAACUGUAGGACAAGAUUUGAUUAAAGAAAGCGCCAAUUUUGCAGGUGAAAGAAAAGGGCAAUUCAGUCAAUUUAUUCUCACCAUUUCAUUGAAUUCGAAAUAAUAGGAGUCCGGAAACGACAGUGUGAAAAGGUAAAAGGCAGAAAAAGAAUAGCAAUCUGUAGACAUCGGGGAGUGGAGUGUUUUUGUCUUGCUCUGCAAUUUUUAUUUUAUAACUAAUUCCUUACACCAUAUUUUUUCUAAAACCCUUUUACAUUUCAUGUUUUCUUGACAACGUUUUUCUUUUUUUAAUUUCUCUAUAAAAUUUGAGGGUAAAAUACAAAAUAAAGAUUUUUAAAAAAAUUAAGAAAAUAGGCUAAAUUUUUUAAAAUUUAUGAAAAUGGGCUAAUUUUAGUAAAACGCUUUCCGCCGAAAAUAUUUUUAGGAAAAACUCAAAAAAAUAUUUUUAAUUGGAAGUACUUUUCACGUGUGACCGAUAAACACUCUAAUAUAUAUAUUUUUAAAGAAUCACAAAAGUAAAUAAUAAAACAAAAUUAUUUUUUAUCACUAUUGUUAUACCCCUCAACAUGAGAUGAUUAGAGAGAUACACGUUGGCGCCCUCCUCUCUCUACUGUCUGGGAAGUUCUCAAUUUCUCUGAAAGGAUCCCUAGUCACUCAUUCUUACGAACGAACUAUCUACUUCCUUUGGAAUGGUCUUGCGUACCCACCUUUAUGAACAACUCAUUCAUUCUACAAGGCGCCCGCUCUUCUAUUGAGAAUGUGAUUUUUAAGUCACCAAACCCUAUUUGAACAUAACAACCUUGUAUUGUGAUUUAUAAAAAAUAACAGAACGAGUCACAUCACAUACAUCCCCUCAUGUGCUCUACAAUGAUGGUAAUAUUUCCAAGCACGAAACCUCUAUUAUAUAUCCCCAGAUCGAUGAAGAAUAGAUCCCUAAAUUUUUAAAUUCAAAAAGUAGAUGACUAUAUUCUUGAAAAUAAAAGUAGGGGGAUAUUACCAUCUUAAAAAUUUAGGUCUAAUUAUUAACAUUGUUAAAAUUCUUCUAUUAAAUUCUCUGGCAUGACAUUUUAAAAUUAAAAAAAAUCAUUUGAUAGUCAUAUAACAAUAAAAAUAACGUUAAAAAUACUUAUAUGACUUUUCUUAAAAAUACUCAUUAGAAAUUUUCAUGAUAAAAUAAUUUUUUGUUGGAAUAUUGUUCUUAAGAAAAAUUGGCGUUAGGUUGAUUACUUUUUUUUGACUAAAUUAUAGAGUAAAAAUUCAAAGGUUGCAAUAUGCUCAAAGUUCUUAUAGUCUUCAUAUAUUUGGAAUUUAAUAUCCAUACUUUUAUUUUAAAGAAUUUAAUUCCUAUGCUUUUCGAAUAUUAAAAUUUAGGUCCAUUUUUUAACACUGUUAAAAUCUUUAUUUUAAAUUUAUCGGUGUGGCAUUUUGACAUUCAAAAAGAAAUACUUCAUUGGUAUCCAUGUAAUAAAAAAUGACAUUAUAAUAAACUUGAAUUUAAUUGAGAAUUUUAACGAUGGUAGCGAUUCUUAAAAAUUCACCUUAACAUUUUAAUCAGAAUAAAAUAUUUAAACUAACUAAUGACGCUAUAAAAGUUGAGGCACUAAAUUAAGUCAAAAUUAAAGUAUAAAGAUUAAAUCUUAAAUAUAAGUGAAAUAUAGGGAUUAAAAUUGAAAUUUAACCAUUCUUAAAUAAUUUUAAAGUAUAAAGUAUAGAUGUCUUAGAAACAAUUUUUUUUUUCAAAAUUAAUUGUCAAAUGUGAUCAAAUGUCAAUUUUAUAAUAUAUGUUAUCAAAUAUAAUCAUUUAUAAUAUAUGCUAAUUUUAUAAGGCAUUGAUAUCGUUUAUAAGAACUUAAGUUGUAGCCUUCAUUUUCUUCAAAGCUUAAGUUUGAAUUACUAUUAUAAAAAAAUAUCAUUUAUAUAUUGUCAACUUUAAACAUCAUAUGAAAAAAUUAGUGUAAUUAAUGUUUAAUGUAUAUUACAUUUGUUAAAUUAAAACUAAUUAAUUACAUUAACAAAUUAAAUUAAAAUAAAUUAUUAUAAGCACUAAAUAGACUAAAAUCAAACUUGUUAAUUAAUUCACACAUAAUUUUUAUACAUGAGAAUUAAAUCUAAACGCUUAAAAUCUCAAAACUUUACUCCUCGUUCACAAUAUAUGUUAUAUUUAUACUAAAAAAUUGUAAAAUACUACUCAUGUAAAAGAAGUCUAAAGAUGUGUUUGGAUGGGUGGUGUGUUUACAUAAGAUUAGUGUAAAAACAGUAAUGGUUGUGAAAUUAGAUAUUGUAGAGUGAGACAAAAAAUAAGGUAAACGCACCGCACCCAAUCGUUCAUCCAAACCCACCCUAAAUCUAAUUACUUAUAUGUGUUUGGUUUAAUGAAAUGAAAUAAAUAAAGAAUCUAAUAACUAUACGGUAAAAAUGAAAUAUAAAAAAUAAUAAAUUAUGCUGUUUGGUUGAUUAAAUGAAAUACACAAGUAAUAGUAUUAGGCUAUUGGGUUGGCUAGAUUGAUGGUAAGGAAUAAAAAAGUAAUAAAUGUUAAAUGACAAAAUUACCUUUAAGUUAAAUAAUGGUAUUUUUAUUAUUCUAUUAUUAUUAAAUGUUUAUAUAAAUUUAAUUUCAUUAAUAUAAAGAUCAAAUUUUAUAAAAAACUUUGAAAAAAAAACCCUAGCCAAUAGUGUUUUGCUUAAGCAUCCUAGAGGAACAGUUUAUUCUGCGGCUUGGGAUGAAGAAAAGUGGUGGUGAUGAGAGUUUUGUAGGAGAUGAGAUCUCCCUUUUAGCAGAAGAACUCAUUCAGUUAUCGGUUAAAAGUUCAAAGGUUGUACCAAGCGAGAAGCCAACCCUAAUCUGCACUAUUUGGACAAAAAAAAUCCUAUAAUCCAGAUAGUUUUAGGGCACAGAUGAAAAGUAUUUGGAAAACGAAGAAAAAAUUUGAGAUCCAAUUGGCAGGGCAGAACCUAUACUUGUUAGUGUUUGAUAGUGGAGAAGAUUUGGAGACAGUUAUGGAGGUACAACCAUGGCUAUUUAGGAAAAAUCUAGUGCUCUUUGAUCAGUUAACUACAUCGAUGGAAAGGAGUUAGAUUCGGCUUAAUUCAUCCCCAUAUUGGAUUAAGAUUCGUCCAUGCUUGCCAGAAUUCGAUAAAAAAAAUUUGAUGCAUGCUAUUAGGGCUACUUUUGGAGGUAUUAUGAGAUCUGAAAUUAAUGGGGAUUUCUGUCGACUUAGAGUGCAAUUAGAUGUACUAAAACCCUUGUGCAGGGGUAUUUUCGUCUCAACAGAAAAUCAGUGUAAGUCCUAGAUUCCUUCUAAAUAUGAAAAAUUACCAACAUUUUGCUUUGGUUGUGGAAUGAUGGGGCACGGGCUCACUGAAUGUCUUAAGUCAAUUCCUGUAGAAAAAAAUAAAAUUAGAGAUGAUCUUCAUUUUUCUUUAGCACUAAAAGUAGAAGUAAAUUUUAAUGGUAAGGAGAGUUUAAAGUUUAGUGCCUUUUCAAAAAAGAUGCAGACUCAAUGUUCAUAUACAGAUGGUAUAGAGAAAAUCUUUAAGCCAAUUUUUGAAGAAAAGGGUAAUACUGAUACUGACCAGAAUAGUCAGGAUGGUGCACAAUUCACAGGAAAGGUGACAGCAAUGAUGAUGCAGGAGAGAGCGAUAGUUAGAAAAGAAAACGAGAAUGGGGAAAUCAAUAAUCACGAAGGAAGAUCGAAGCCAAUCAGGAAGCCAAUAUGAAAGAGAUUAGAGACAAAAAGAGACAUGGAGAGUGGAAAUGGAGAGAGUAAAUUGAGAAAGAGAAAAUCAGAGGAUAUAGAAAUUGAAGAUGACAGAAAUAGAAAUUCUUGCGAGUGGAAGCAAAAAGAGUGAAGUUUGAUGACCAAGAUUCUCACAACAACGGGAACUCACUUUUGGUGACAGAAAAUCUCAAGCAAUGUGGUAUUACCAAUCAAGAUAGAUGGACGGCUGCCAGAUGGCAAGUCGACCGGACACAAUGAAAACUACCUGUUGGAACGUUCGUGGAUUGGGGAGUCUACGGGCAAUAAUAAGGCUUCAGUUUUUGCUAAAGCAACAUAAACCCCAAAUGGUUUUCCUCAUGGAGACCAAAAUCGAUGAAAAGCGUAUAGAAAGAAUUAGGAGGAGAUGUGGUUUCGAGAAUGGUAUUGAUGUUGGAGCAGAAGGCUCUAGAGGUGGAAUUUCUUUGGCAUGGAAAGCAGAAAUUACGGUUCGACUAAACAAUUUCUCUAAAAACCAUAUUGACGUGCUGGUAAAAGAGGAUAAUGUUAAUCAAGAGUGGAGAUUUACAGGGUUCUAUGGUUUGCCUUACAUUACUAAUAAGGAUGACUCGUGGAAUUUGUUGAGGAGGUUGGGUCAAAAUCAAAACCAUCCAUGGUUAGUAUGUGGUGCUUUUAAUGAAAUAUUGUAUUCUUUUAAAAAAAGUGAAGGUCAACCGAGGGAGGAAAAAAGAAUGAAAGUUUUUUACGAGGUUUUAGAAAAAUGUCAAUUAAUGGAUGUGGGGUAUUCGGGGGGUGGUUUACAUAGGAAAGAGGGAAUCUACCAGAAAUAAAUAUUAAAGAGCGAUUGCAUAGAGGCAUGGCAAAUGAAAAAUGGAUGCAUCUUUUUCCAAAAGGAGCUAUUUAUCACUUAGCAUACUCGAUUUCAGAUUAUUGUCCCUUACUUAUUAAUACUAAUAAAAAGACAAUUUUUAAAGGAAGCCCAAGUUUCAAGUUCGAGGCAUGGUGGACAAUGGAGGAAUCUAUUGAACAAGAGAUUAAAACUCGUAGGAAUCAUCGAAUGAAACUAUUGUUGAAAAGCUUGGAAGGUUGCAUAUUAGAUUGAUUAGGUGGGCAAGUUCAAUAAAGAGAGGCAGUGAUGGGUUAAAGAAUAAGCUGAUGAAAGAACUUGACGAGUUAAUGGCAAGGGAUAGAGAUGAUGACACAUUGGUAAAACUGAUUGAUACUAGGAUUCAACUCAAUAUGGAGAUUGAUAAAGAUGAAAUGUACUGGGAACAAAGGGCACGAGCCAAUUGGCUUCAAUUAGGAGAUAAUGGAUCCAACUUUUUUCCAUAAACAUGCCUUAGUUCGUAGACGAAUUAACACUAUUACUAGGCUGGAAACGGAAGACGAGAGGGAUAUCUUUGGUGAAAUAGCAAUUAAUAAGGCAACUUCAAAUUACUUCCAGAACUUAUUUUCUUCAUGGGGGAUUGGCAAUUUAUCCCACCUUCUAAAAUGUAUUAAUUCUAAUAUUUCAUCGGAUAUUAAUGUAGAUUUAUUAGUACCUUUUACAGAAGAAUAAGUAUUUUUAACUUUGAAAGGAAUGGGGCCCACUACAACACCUGGUUGUGACGGCUUUUCAGCUUUAUUUUUUCAAAAAUUCUGGCACAUUGUAGGUAAAGAUGUUGAAAAUUUUUGUUUAGGAAUUCUGAAUGAGGGAAGAGAUAUAAACUCUAUAAAUAUCACAGACAUUGUGCUUAUCCCUAAACUACCAAAUCCCACGAGUCUUGUUAAUUUCAGAACUAUCAACUUAUACACAGUUUUAUACAAAAUUAUGGCAAAAGUAAUCACUAAUCGCCUUCAAGGAGUAAUUGGAGAAUGUAUUGACAAGGCUCAAAGUGCUUUUAUCCCUAGAAGGCUACUUACUGACAAUGUGCUUGUGUCCUAUGAACUCUUACAUACACUACGUCAAAAACGAAUUGGGAAAAAGAGGCUUAUGGCAGUCAAACUAGAUAUGAGCAAAGCUUACGACAGAGUUGAAUGGGCUUUUCUAAAGGAAGUUAUGAUUCAAAUGGGAUUUGCAGUGGAGUGGGUGACUUUAAUCAUGAAGUGCAUCUCCACAGUCUCGUACACAGUGAGUGUCAAUGGAAGAAGAUGAGAUGUUUUUAAACCCACCAGAGGGCUUCGUCAGGGAGAUCCGCUUAGUCCUUUUCUUUUCUUGAUAUGCAGUGAAGGACUCUCGUGGCUAAUAAGAAUGUCAAAAGUGGAGGGAUCCAUGAAGGGAGUAAGAGCUAGAAGAAGAGGACUAGAAAUAUCACAUCUGCUGUUUGCAAAUGAUUGCAUACUGUUUGGAGAAGCGACACAUAAAUGGGUAAAAAUUUUAAAAGGAAUUUUAAGAGAAUAUGAAUAGUGCUCAGGCCAAUGUGUGAAUUUUGGUAAAUCGAUAAUUUUUUAUAGUUCAAAUACAACUGAAAGAGACAAAGCAGAAACUUCGAGUAUGUUAGUUGUUCGAUGCUCCACCAAUCUGGAAAAAUAUCUAAGACUCCCUACUGUUAUAGGCAGGCGAAAGAAUGAAGCUUUUCAAAAUCUCAAGGAUAAAGUGAAUACUGUCAUAAGGGGGAAAGGAGGUCUUUAUAAAAUCUAUUCUUCAAGCAAUUCCAACCUAUGCUAUGUCAUGUUUCCUCUUACCAAAAUCGUUAUGUAGGAAGCUGGAAAAUAUUUUCACAAAAUUCCAGUGGCAAAAAGGUCAGGGAAGGAAAUGGAUUCACUAGUGCCGAUGGAAUUUUAUGUGUCGAUCAAAAGAUGAGAAGGGAAUGGGCUUUAGAAAUUUAGUGCAAUUUAGUAUUUCACUAUUAGCUAAGCAGGGGUGGAGGCUUAUUACAAACCAGAAUUCCUUAGUUACGCAAGUGUUUAAAGCUAAGUGUUUUCCGAAUGAUAAUUUUUUAAAUUCUCGAUUGGGGAAAACCGAUUCUUACAUAUAGAAAAGCAUGUGUACAGCGAAGGGUGUUUUGGAAAAAUACAUGUAUUGGAAGGUCGGUACAGGUACACGUAUAUAUAUCAAUACUGAUGCUUAGAUUCUAGAUGCUGUUAAUUUUAAGUUAUCUUCAGUUAUUAAUGCCAUGCAAGAUGUUAAGGUCAAUGAGUUGAUCAACAGUAAUGAGAGAACAUGGAAGUGAGAUUUCAUAAACAAUAAAUUUUCCGCAGAUGAUGCUGGAAAAAUCCUUCGUAUCCCUUUAGCACGCACACCUCACGAAGAUUUCUUGGUCUGGGGAGGUGAGUAUUCAGGUGAGUUUUCGGUUCGCAGUGCCUAUAAACUAUUACAAUAAACUAUUACAAGGUUUGGAGGAAAUUCCUAGAGCUUACACUUUACAAACAGGCUAUAUGAACUUUUACAAAAAACUAUGGCUCCUUAAUCUACCAAGCAAAAUUAAGGUUACAAUAUGGAGAAUCUCAUGGAAUUAUUUGUCGACAAGGGUUAAUAUGCAGUAGCAUUAGCUCGUCAGUAACACAAACUGCCCUCGGUGCGGUGAAAGUGCUGAAACAAUCGACCAUAUUUUUCGCAAAUGUCCUGUCACAGUGGAAGUUUGGUCACUAUUAAAAAUUCAGAAUUUGAUUCUGGUUCCUAACAUGGAUUUUUUAUAGUGGAUUACCUGGAUUUUUGAUCUAUUUUUUAAAGGGCAACAAAUAGCAGACUUCAUCAACAACUAUAUUGUUGAACCUAAUGGGCUUGAAAUAAGAAGGUCAAUUAAGGGAAAGGAAACAAGAAAGUGGAGCUACCCACAUCGCGAAUUCGUUAAAAUAAAUUUUGAUGGUGCGUAUGAUGCGACUCACCAUAAAUCUGCCUCAGGGGUUGUGGUCAGAGACGAGGAAAGGCUUGUCCUUCUUUCCUACUCAGAGAUCAACCACGGGGUAUCUUCCGCAUUUGCAGCCGAAGCAAUAGCGUGUAGAAAAGCGGUCAAAGUAGGAGUGGGACAACAAUGGCCGAAGGUGAUAAUAGAAGGCGACUCCCUCACGAUAAUCAAAAAAUGCACAACCAAAAGUCAAGAUCGUUCACAUAUAGGAGCUUAUAUACACGAUAUACAACAAAACAUUAACAGAUCGAGAAGCUUCUUUUUCAAACGUACAAUAAGAUCUGCAAACAACCUUGCGCAUGUAAUAACAACGGAAACUUUAAGAAGGAAGGAGGAGACGUACCUGGAAAUGGGGGUUCCGGUGUAUGCUGAGAUUCAACAAAGAAUGGAUCAGAGACGAGAGCCAGAUUGAUAACAGAGGGGAAACAGAGAAAUGAAAGGAAAGUAAAGGAAAGUCGGAGAAAUGGUUUUUGAAAGGAUAAACUUUCCUAAAAGCUGAAUCGUUAAAAGAAAAUUGAAAGGUACAUUGAUGAUACGACGGUUUACAGUAUGAUCUGACUGGGCAUUAAUUAGGUACAUCAAUCUAUAAUUUUUGACUGUUUGAUAAAUAUCUAGAUAUUUUCUAAUUAGUUUUUGAGCCUUUUUAGUUUCAGGCCGUGUCUUGUUUAGGUGCUGAUUGGUUUUCUCUUUUGCUUUUGGACUUUUACUAUGUACUUUUAUUUUAUUCAGUAUACAGCCCAGUCUGAAUUCUUUCAAAAAAAUUCAUUAAUAUAAUUCAGAAA
RNAcentral lists this long non-coding RNA (25413 nucleotides) under Gossypium barbadense (sea-island cotton). RNAcentral describes it as "long non-coding RNA (GBAR_LNC009402)". The record is from RNAcentral. Lineage: Eukaryota; Viridiplantae; Streptophyta; Magnoliopsida; Malvales; Malvaceae.